Pyrus x bretschneideri (Chinese white pear) is the source of this 4690-nucleotide RNA transcript. It is a transcript of the gene named putative syntaxin-131, with no coding region annotated. The transcript is spliced from 11 exons. NCBI's taxonomy places the organism in Eukaryota, Viridiplantae, Streptophyta, Magnoliopsida, Rosales, Rosaceae. The record is from RefSeq and is a predicted model, not a curated record.
UGCCGCUGAUCUUCAUGUCGCGUGUUGAUGAUCGUGGAAAGGCAGGGGUGCGAUGGUCAUUUUAGUCUGUAGGGUUUCGAACGGGUUGGGUGGGUUAGAGACUUUCAUUUCCUUUCUUUCUGAGCUGCAGUGGGACUCGGUGAGAGCAUGCCGUCGGGAGAGAGACCGAGCGAGCAGAGAGAGAAGAGAGACACGGAGGGAGAGAGAUAGGGAUUUGGUGAGAGGAAGGCAUGCGGCUUGCAGGCAGACAGAGUCACAGGGGUGUACGAUUCGAGGGAGACAGCGCGAAAGAGAGAGUGGGAGAGGGAGGAGUAAGGAUCGCUCGCUGAGGGUUUCGCAAUUGGGAGGCCAUGCUGAUGGAGAUAGAGAUGGGAGAGGGAGAGGGAGAGAGGGAGACAGAGACAGAGCGACACGGAGAGAAGGAAAGGGAGGAGUGGGCAUCUCAGCGCCAUUGCUGCAGAUCUUUGAUCUUCUUCGAUCCCAUCUCCGUGUUCUUCUCAGCCUCUCACAGUCGCAGCAUCACUCGCCCACUCACUCACUCACUCACUCACUCACUCACUACAGAGGCUGCUCAGAAGGAAUUGAGGAGGAGAGGGAAGGUUUUGGCGUCGAAAAAGUCAUCUCGGAUGGCUGCUGAAGGCUUGCUGGCUCUGGCUCAGAAUGAAAACAGGGCUGCUAUUAUUGAACUUAACUGUGAGACUGACUUUGUUGCUCGAAAUGAUAUCUUUCAAUACUUGUGGUGCUUUUUAGGGUUAAGCUAUUUGAUUUCACAGAUUCAUUACAGACACAGUAAAUAGGUAUAUCACUAUGGAAGAACUAGAGCAAGUCCUCCACGAAUACGGCUUGCAUGGUGAAUUUUAAUCUUUCCAGGUACAACCAUAUCUCACUCCCUCUGACUCUAAGGGACACCAUCCAUCAAGAGUAUCGUGAUGUUGUUGAGAGGCAAGUUUUUACAGUGAUGGGCACAAGAGCUGAUGAAGAGACAAUUGAAAGAUUAAUCGAGACAAGAGACACUGAACAAAUUUUCCAGAAGGCAAUCCAAGAACAAGGGGGAGGCCAGAUAAUGGACGCUCUGGCCGAAAUUCAAGAGCCACAUGAUGCUGUUAGAGAUCUUGAGAGGAAGCUGCUCGAUUUACAACAGGUUGUUUUUUUAUUUCUAUAGGGGAGUUGCAGGUGUCCAUGUCAGAUUCAUAAGGAAAAAGAACCAUUUUUGUGGAUAUAUUGAAACAUUGCAGUGGUUAAAGAAGAGUACAAGAAAAGUUCUGUUUAUUUCUUCAGAAAAGAUUAAGAAAGGUGAGUUGGACAUAGAAGAUGGAAUUUCAACUUUGAGUUUUAACUCUUCACUGUUUAUUUUUUUAUUCAGUCUUUGGCAAGCCAUCAUACAUAAUAACAUAACUUAGCAUUUACCAAACAAUUAAACAUGUAACAUAACUUAACAUUUACAUUUACAUUUUUCAUUUACAGUUGGUAGCCACAAAUCAACCCACUAUCAACUUGAUAUCAACAUUGGAGUGUGCCUUAAAAGUUUAAGUCAUGUUUUUUAUUCUAUUUUAUAAAAUGAAUGAAGUUCUGAAGUUUUUGUCUUAUGAAACUUAGGUAAUAUAUAUCAUUUCUUAAACAUAAUACAUGCAAAUACAAAAAAUUGUAAGCUGUAUCGAUGAAACAUUUUUUAUGUAAAAUUUUUGUAACAUUUUAGGUUUAAGAAAUAUUGAUGCCUAAAAUCCUGUCAUCAGUUUUUUCCAUCAAAAUUUUUCAAUCGGUUCAGUUCUUUUCAAAUAUGUAUAAUUUCUUUGUGCAACGUCUCUUUUAGUUUCUUGGUCAAGCAUUUGAAAUCAUUACCAACUAUUUAGUAAAAGUAGUUUUAUAGAAAAUGCUUGAGCUUCUUGCAAUAACUUUUGUUUGCAAACGUUUUCCAACUUAUUUGUUAUCAAUAUUGUUCCUAUUUUUAAAAACCUUUUUUCAAGUCUGCUUGAAUCAGGACUUAUCGAAUCAAGGCAGCUGCAAGGAAAUUUGAGCUUUGGCAUGUAUAGAUACGAUUUUGCAACGAAGCUAGGUACCUUCUAGACUUAUUGGAUGUGAAGAUUUGUAUGAUCGAAUUUGUGAUUAAAAUACUUGGAUUUUAUUAAAUUUUUCAUGAUUUUAUAGAGUUUUUCGUUUAAAUUUGUGGGUUUUAGUUUAAAUUUAUGCUCCAACCCAUUUCAACAAUUUAUCAAGCUUUAGUUGAAGCUCUUUGGAAGCAUAUCCAUUAUAUUGCCAACCUUGAAAAGCCUUGGUAAAUAAUGUCAGUUGUUGCUUCUCCAACUCUUUUCCCUAAUUUAGUUUCUUAAGCUUCAUUUCUUUUUUCCUAUAUGUAGUUUUGAUUGUGUUGGGAGUUAGUAGCUUUGGUUUCGACAUUGUUUUGUUUGUGAUAGAUCUCAAUAUAUUGCAAAUAUUUUGCAAGUUGAGGUACUAAAGAUUUUGCAUUAACUUAUUUUUUUCAUUUGCCCGUGUUCUAAUCCAAAAUGUUUAAAGUUGGUUGAAUAUUACAAACUGGUAUAGGUUUGGUUAUAAUAAAAGAAGUAAUAUAAAUUAUUACUAUGACACAGUAACAUUGCGAGAGGUCUUUUAUUAAUCUCUCUAUCUAUGACAGUACCAAAUAUAUCAUAGAUGAGACUAAUAUUUAAAACCAUGUUUAUUAUGGUCUUUGUAUCCGCCAGCAGGGGUAGUUUACCUUGGGGGUUGCAACGAAUGUGGAGAUUCGUUAGACCAAUGAUCAAUUGAUAGAAAUUAUCAUUAAGCCAAGCAAAAAUGACUAUUAAAUCUUAACAUUGGGAGAAAACUAGGAGUCUUUUUUUUUUUUUUUUUUUUUAAUCUGCCAAUACUAGGAGUCUCAAAACCAAGUAGUGUUAUAUUUGAAUAAAUUUUUAUUUGAUCGACUGAAAGUAAAAAUCAUAUUUUUUUGGCAAGUACACACGAACUUACACUCCUAAAUACUCAUAGCACAAAUGAAUGAUGGACUCAGAUAAACACCCACAAAUACAUAUACUAUGCACAGAUACUAUAAUGGUUUCUUCUCAGAAUGCUUAUCAAGACCUUCAGUAAUGACCCUUCUGAAAUGAUGGAUAUAUUGUCGAUAUUAUUGAUCAAUUGAGUAUGCAUGAGAACUUUAAGUAAUCAUUGCCAUAAAAAGUUGAAGUGAUGACUCACACUAGGAAUCAGUUAUCUCAUUAGUAGCUUUAUUUUUAUCUAAGAUCGAAUUUGAUACCUGUAGGUGUACAUAGGUUAAAUCGAUUGUUAAGAUGACAAUUUAAUCACUUUUCAACGUCCGAUAUCUCCAUCUCCCUGUUUUGGAUUUUUACUUACUUGAAAUGAAUAGAUUCUAGGCGUUUCAUUUAGCAAAAUGAGCAGUGGAUAGUGCUAACUCAUUUUUCUAACAUUCACACCAAUAUGAGCACUUUUCUUGGCAAUAUAGUGCUUAGCGUAAAAUUAGAAUGUGAUUCAGUUGUAUUGAAUUUGUUCAAUUAACCACUAGUCUAUUUAUAGUUCAUUUAAUCUUUUGAAUUAGUAAGCUACUGUGUUGUGUCCUUUACAUUUCUUGGUAUGCUAUUGAUAUGGAAAACAUCAUCUAUCUGUUCUAUUUAUUGCAUGACAUAAGAAUCAAAGUAGACUUGGCAUCCCUUUUGUGGUCUUUUUUGUGUUAGCAAAUGCCAUCAAAUAGGCAAAAUCAUAUCGGCUACAAAGUGCAAUGAAUGCUACAGGUUACUAUGUUUCGCCAUAUGCCUUCAUUGUGGCAUUGCCCUCUCUGCGACAAGUAAGCAUUAUAAUUUCACUUUGUGGAAUGAUAUUAAGUUGACUUAUGGAAUAAUACAAGGUUGUGUCAUGCAUGAAAACUAUGAAUCCAUUUCAUCAUGCAUUUUUUACUUCAACUACUAUGUUUUUGUUCAAUUGACUGCAACUCAUGCUGCGGUUUGCUUCACAAACCUCUACAGUUAGCUUCCAUACAGUAUGUUGCAAGUUUGAGGAUAUUUCUACAUCUUAAUUUCUGCUCUCUGUGCUUACUUCAAGUUUGUAAUUUUGCGUGUUACACUGCCACUUGAUUUGAUUAUAAAAAUGUAAAACAAAAUCUGUCAAUGAUUUACAAAUUUGUAUUCGAUUUUUGAUGUUUUUCCAGUGUAAGGCAUAUGUUGCACAAACAUGUAAAUGGUACAAAUUAUUUGGUUUUGGACAGUAAGCUUUGAGUUUUACAAGAAAAAUCAAGAAAAUGUGUCACUUAUCUAUCCCUCUAUUCUUUCAGGAUUAUGUUUAAUUUAUUCAGGUUAAAUGUGUCUUAUUCAUGCACUUCAGGCUGGUGCAUUCAAGGUCCCGUAGCAAAGCGUGGGCAUAUUUUCUAGUUCUAUUGCUAUUUCAAGCAAGCCAUCAACAGAGAAUUCCUUUUGAAUUCCAGUGAAUAACCUAAAAUUCCUUUGGAUUCCACUCGUUAAAUCGUCAGCACCACCUUUUCUUUAGUACCUGCCAAACAGUCGAAAAGUUGUAUGUGCAAUGUUAUUUGGGUCGAUCAGAACCCAUCUUCGUUGGUGCAUGUUCUGAACAACAAUGAUUUACCUUCUCCUCAUUAAGUUUUUUUGUAUCGGCAGGGGGCGAUGCUUUUGCAUUGUUGCAGCGUCCUCUUUGAUGUAAAACCCCCUGUUUUAGUUUAUUGCUUGUUUAACUU